RNAcentral lists this ribosomal RNA (253 nucleotides) under uncultured bacterium. RNAcentral describes it as "partial 16S ribosomal RNA". It matches the Rfam family "Bacterial small subunit ribosomal RNA", at positions 524 to 776 of the family's 1533-position model. The record is from RNAcentral.
AACGUAGGAGACAAACGUUAUCCGGAGUUACUGGGCGUAAAGGGCGUGUAGGUGGUUUCGUAAGUCUGGCGUGAAAUUUCUCGGCUUAACCGAGGCAGGUCGUCGGAUACUGCGAGGCUAGAGGACGGUAGAGGCGUGUGGAAUUCCGGGUGUAGUGGUGAAAUGCGUAGAUAUCUGGAGGAACACCGGUGGCGAAGGCGGCAUUCUGGACCAAUACUGACGCUGAGGAGCGAAAGCCAGGGGAGCAAACGGG